AGUGAACGCUGGCGGUAGGCCUAACACAUGCAAGUCGAACGGCAGCACAGUAAGAGCUUGCUCUUACGGGUGGCGAGUGGCGGACGGGUGAGGAAUACAUCGGAAUCUACUUUUUCGUGGGGGAUAACGUAGGGAAACUUACGCUAAUACCGCAUACGACCUACGGGUGAAAUCAGGGGAUCUUCGCACCUUGCGCGAUUGAAUGAGCCGAUGUCGGAUUAGCUAGUUGGCGGGGUAAAGGCCCACCAAGGCGACGAUCCGUAGCCGGUCUGAGAGGAUGAUCAGCCACACUGGAACUGAGACACGGUCCAGACUCCUACGGGAGGCAGCAGUGGGGAAUAUUGGACAAUGGGCGCAAGCCUGAUCCAGCCAUACCGCGUGGGUGAAGAAGGCCUUCGGGUUGUAAAGCCCUUUUGUUGGGAAAGAAAAGCAGCAGGUUAAUACCCCGCUGUUCUGACGGUACCCAAAGAAUAAGCACCGGCUAACUUCGUG
Molecule: ribosomal RNA, 492 nt
Filed under: uncultured bacterium
Lineage: Bacteria
Description: partial 16S ribosomal RNA
Rfam family: Bacterial small subunit ribosomal RNA
Source: RNAcentral